RNAcentral lists this RNase P RNA (376 nucleotides) under Ramlibacter sp. RNAcentral describes it as "Bacterial RNase P class A". It matches the Rfam family "Bacterial RNase P class A". Rfam says of the family: Ribonuclease P (RNase P) is a ubiquitous endoribonuclease, found in archaea, bacteria and eukarya as well as chloroplasts and mitochondria. Its best characterised activity is the generation of mature 5'-ends of tRNAs by cleaving the 5'-leader elements of precursor-tRNAs. RNAcentral also lists the same sequence under 1 other name. Lineage: Bacteria; Pseudomonadati; Pseudomonadota; Betaproteobacteria; Burkholderiales; Comamonadaceae. The record is from Rfam by way of RNAcentral.
GAAGUCCACCAGGCCGCCGCUGGCGCAAGCUGUCAAAAGCCGGCGUGAAAACGCCGGGCCGAAAGGCCGCGCUGGAGGAAUGUCCGGACUGCAUAGGGCAGCGUAGCGGGUAACACCCGUCCACCGUGAGGUGAGGAUCAGAGCAACAGAGACGAGCCGCUUCAGUGCGGGUGAAACGGGCAAUCUCUACGCGCAGCAAUACCAAGUAGGCACACACGGAGUGCGGCGGCGAAAGCUGUUGUGUUCUAACCCGGGGCCCCCGGAGUGUGCGGGUAGGUAGCACCGAGCCGGUGAGUGAUCACCGGCCCAGAUUAAUGGCGGUCACGCUGGGGGCAACCCCAGUGCACAGAAUCCGGCUUAUCGGUGGACUUCACAC